Molecule: ribosomal RNA, 465 nt
Filed under: uncultured bacterium
Lineage: Bacteria
Description: partial 16S ribosomal RNA
Rfam family: Bacterial small subunit ribosomal RNA
Source: RNAcentral
CCUACGGGAGGCUGCAGUGGGGAAUAUUGCGCAAUGGGCGAAAGCCUGACGCCGCGACGCCGCGUGAGGGAUGAAGGUCUUCUGAUCGUAAACCUCUUUCAGCAGGGAAGAACGGUCACUGUGCUAAUCAACAGUGAAUUUACGUUAUCUGCAAAGGACGCACCGGCUAACUCCGUGCCAGCAGCCGCGGUAAUACGGAGGGUGCUGUCGUUAAUCGGAUUUACUGGGCGUAAAGCGGUCGUAGGCGGUAUGUCAAGUCAAGGGUGAAAUCCCCGCGCUCAACGUGGGAACUGCCUUUGAAACUGGCAAACUGGAGUGUGUGAGAGGAUAGUGGAAGGCCAGGUGUAGGAGUGAAAUCCGUAGAUAUCUGGAGGAACAUCAGUGGCGAAGGCGAAUAUCUGGGACAUAACUGACGCUGAGGAGCGAAAGCGUGGGUAGCAAACAGGAUUAGAUACCCCAGUAGUC